This 311-nucleotide unclassified non-coding RNA is filed under the name uncultured Agaricomycetes. RNAcentral describes it as "sequence contains ITS2". Lineage: Eukaryota; Fungi; Basidiomycota; Agaricomycetes. The record is from RNAcentral.
AACGCACCUUGCACUCCUUGGUAUUCCGAGGAGUAUGCCUGUUCGAGUGUCAUGAAACUCUCAAACCUCAUCUUCAUUGAUGACGGGCUUGGAUUUGGACGUUGCUGGACUUUACCGUUCGGCUCGUCUUGAAUGCAUUAGCUGACGAUUUCGACUUCAGUUAAACCGUGUGAUAAUACAUCAACGCGGGCAGCCGUCAAGGCGCUGGGUCGUCAUUCGAAGGCUUCUAACCGUCCCUUCGAGGACCGCCUUUACUGGCGUUUCAUUUCACAUCUGGCCUCGAAUCAGGUAGGACUACCCGCUGAACUUAA